Acanthochromis polyacanthus (spiny chromis) is the source of this 360-nucleotide long non-coding RNA. RefSeq lists it as uncharacterized. Lineage: Eukaryota; Metazoa; Chordata; Actinopteri; Pomacentridae. The transcript is spliced from 4 exons. The record is from RefSeq and is a predicted model, not a curated record.
GUCGUCUGAAAUGUCACCAGAACGGCAUAAAAACGUCAUUGUUUAGGAUGUCGUCCGAAAUGUCACCAAAAUUGCAUAAAAACGUCAUAGGUUAGUAUGUUGUCCAAAAAGUCACCAAAACGUCAUUGUUUAGGAUGUCGUCUGAAAUGUCACCAAAAUUGCAUAAAAACGUCACAGUUUGGUAUGUCGUCCGAAAUGUCACCAAAACAUCAUAAAAACGUCAUAGUUUUUUAUAUUGUCCAAAAAGUCACCAAAACGGCAUAGUUUAGUAUGUCACCAAAAAGUCACAGUUUAGUAUGUCGUCCAAAAUGUCACCAAAACAUCAUAAAAACAUCAUAGUUUAGGAUGUCGUCCAAAAUG